RNAcentral lists this ribosomal RNA (402 nucleotides) under uncultured Sphingomonas sp. Its description in RNAcentral is "bacterial SSU rRNA". It matches the Rfam family "Bacterial small subunit ribosomal RNA", at positions 355 to 774 of the family's 1533-position model. Lineage: Bacteria; Pseudomonadati; Pseudomonadota; Alphaproteobacteria; Sphingomonadales; Sphingomonadaceae. The record is from RNAcentral.
UGGGGAAUAUUGGACAAUGGGCGAAAGCCUGAUCCAGCAAUGCCGCGUGAGUGAUGAAGGCCCUAGGGUUGUAAAGCUCUUUUACCCGGGAAGAUAAUGACUGUACCGGGAGAAUAAGCCCCGGCUAACUCCGUGCCAGCAGCCGCGGUAAUACGGAGGGGGCUAGCGUUGUUCGGAAUUACUGGGCGUAAAGCGCGCGUAGGCGGCUUUGUAAGUUAGAGGUGAAAGCCCGGGGCUCAACCCCGGAAAUGCCUUUAAGACUGCAUCGCUUGAAUCCAGGAGAGGUGAGUGGAAUUCCGAGUGUAGAGGUGAAAUUCGUAGAUAUUCGGAAGAACACCAGUGGCGAAGGCGGCUCACUGGCCUGGUAUUGACGCUGAGGUGCGAAAGCGUGGGGAGCAAACA